Elaeis guineensis (African oil palm) is the source of this 1359-nucleotide non-coding RNA. NCBI's taxonomy places the organism in Eukaryota, Viridiplantae, Streptophyta, Magnoliopsida, Arecales, Arecaceae. The record is from RefSeq and is a predicted model, not a curated record.
GCUUGGUUCAGGGUCCAAAUGGACUGGGGUAUUACAAGGCCAGCCUAUUGUAGAUCCUUUGAUAGAUCUACAUGAUGGUGGGGAUCCAUUGUCACGGGGUCCAUUGGGGAUAAGAUGGAGAGAUGCUUUUUCGAUGAUGGAGGUAUCGACACAUGUGCUCAGUUCUUACCGAUACUACCUCAAUCGAUAGAGACCAGAGCAUGUGAUAUGGCAGCCAUAUACUCAUGAUAUUAUGGCUAGGCUACUUGAUUAUUGUUUAGAUGGGCAGGAUAUAUAGUGUACCCGAGUACCACUCAUUUAUUUUCAUAUCGUAGAGUGGUACUUUACUGAUAGAGUGCUGUGACAGUUUGGGAUUCGCUAGCCUGUUCCUGUGUAGUGUGACACAAAUGCGAGACUAUACCACAUGGACUUGAGAGGGUGAGUUGAUCAGGAUUGGUCCAUCAUUCAUCAGUACUAUAUUCAGAUGUGGGAGAGCCGUCGAUAUUACAUCGUAUUUGGUGAUCUCAUAGAUGGUACCAUGGAUUUUCAUAAUCUGUACAUGCAGUGGUACCGCGGCAUCAUCCGACAGUUUAUUAGUCGUAGUCAUGCGAUGUUCGAUUUUCUAGUAUAGGUUUAGGAUUUCUUUAUUAAAUAUUGUUCAUUUUCAUUAAUUUAUUUCGCACUACUUAUUAUGUACUUAUAUAUGUCAGAGUGACGGCAUGACGAGGAUAUAUUAGCUUGCUCAUCCUGAUUCUAUAUCCACGACCUCGCAGCCGAUCAUGGACAUUUGCAACACCAUCCUCCAUGCUGUCGACGAGCAUACUCGUCUUCAGAUAGGUGUCUUCGCUCAUGACUUUGGCACAGAGGAUGAGACUCCUUCACCGUUUGCAUAUCCAUCGUCGUCGGUAGCACCUCCAGUUUGGCAGAGAUGUGGUAUUCAAUGGCAUAGUACCUCUCCACAUCUAAUGCCAGAGUUUUCUUCGUUCACAUAGUACACACUACCGCCACUCGCAUUGACGAUGAUGUGACACAGUUCACAUAUACUGAGGGUGUUUCUAUGCAUUUUGCAUAUGCAGCGGAUGACAUGAUCCACCAUAAAUACUCAUAUGAUGGAGAGUAUUCAGCCGAGGGAGUCACCCAGGAGGCCAUCACUCAGGAGGCUAUCACUUAGGAGGCUGUCACCCGAGUAGGGCAUCCAACAGUGGACCAGGAGGGGCCGACUCAGCCCACCAUUACGUAUUGUCAGAGGCAACCUAAACAGAGAAAGAGAUGGCCACCAUGUGGGACUUAGGAUAUAUAUUUUAGGAUUCUCUUUAUGUAGUACAUUCAUGUGUUUAUCUUAUUUUAUAUUUACUUUCUAUCAUGGUUUGUAUGGAACAU